This 1214-nucleotide long non-coding RNA is filed under the name Anas platyrhynchos platyrhynchos (common mallard). RNAcentral's name for it is "lncRNA (ENSAPLG00000018118.1)". The record is from RNAcentral. Lineage: Eukaryota; Metazoa; Chordata; Aves; Anseriformes; Anatidae.
CACGAGGAUGAGGAGGACACAAAGGGAUGAGGAGCACGAGGCAAGAGAAGCAAAGGGUCUGCAAAGAGCACGAUGCAAAAAGAGCAUGAAAAAUAAAAAAAAAAAGGGAUUUGCAAAAAGCAAAAAGCAAAGGGUUUGCAAAGAAAUGUGCAAGAAAUGCGAAGAAUUUGGAACGAGCACAAUGCCAAGACCAAGAUGCGAAGGAUUUGCAAAGACCAAGAUGCAAAGACCAAGAGUCAAGGAUUUGAAAUGACCAAAAUACAAAGAUUUACAAAAAACAUGAUCCAAAAAGGACAAAACGAAGGAUUUACAAAUAUCAAGAUGCAAAGACCAAGAUACAAAGAGGACGAAGGAAAAAUUUGCGAAGACCAUGACACAAAUAUUUCCAAAAAACAUGAUCCAAAGAGGAUAAAAUGAAGGAUUUGCAAAGACCAAGACGCAAAGACCAAGAGUCAAGGAUUUGCAAAGACCAAGAUUCAAAAAUUUACAAAAAAACAUGAUCCAAAGAGGACAAAGCAAAGGAUUUACAAAGAUCAUGAUGGAAAGACCAAGAAGCAAAGAGGAUGAAGGAAAAAUUUGCAAAGACCAUGACACAAAGAUUUCCAAAAACCAUGAUCCAAAGAGGAUGAAGCAAAGGAUUUACAAAGACCAAGACACAAAGACCAAGAAGCAAAGAGGAUGAAGGAAAAAUUUGCAAAGACCAAGAUGCAAAAACCACGACACAAAGAUUUCCAAAAAACAUGAUCCAAAGAGGACGAAACGAAGGAUUUACAAAGACCAAGAUGCAAAGACCAAGAGUCAAGGAUUUGAAAUGACCAAAAUGCAAAGAUUUCCAAAAAAACAUGAUCCAAAAAGGACGAAACGAAGGAUUUACAAAGACCAAGAUGCACGCAGCCGCCGCCUGCACCGCCGCGCGCCCCCCACCCCGCCCAGCCCGGACAAAAAAUGAGCUUUUGGUCAGUUUUCCAACAAAAAUCCAUCGUUUUGCUUUAUUUCCGUCGGUUCUCCCUCGGGGAGAGGGGAGGGGGGGUCACAGGUUUUGCACCGCGGAUACAAAUCCCGAAGGGGGGAGGUUGACAAGUUUUGGGAUGCAGAAACAGAGUUUUUUGGGGGGGAUUUGGGGUACAUUUUGCAUCGAAGAAUCACAUUUGGGUGGAAUUUGGACACUUUUCCCACUGCAAAAACCAACUUGGAGGGGAUUUAAAAAUGUUUAA